This 253-nucleotide ribosomal RNA is filed under the name uncultured bacterium. RNAcentral describes it as "partial 16S ribosomal RNA". It matches the Rfam family "Bacterial small subunit ribosomal RNA", at positions 524 to 776 of the family's 1533-position model. The record is from RNAcentral.
UACGUAGGGGGCAAGCGUUGUUCGGAAUUACUGGGCGUAAAGAGCUCGUAGGUGGUUUGUCGCGUUGUUCGUGAAAACUCACAACUCAAUUGUGGGCGUGCGGGCGAUACGGGCAGACUGGAGUACUGCAGGGGAGACUGGAAUUCCUGGUGUAGCGGUGGAAUGCGCAGAUAUCAGGAGGAACACCGGUGGCGAAGGCGGGUCUCUGGGCAGUAACUGACGCUGAGGAGCGAAAGCGUGGGGAGCGAACAGG